UUGGUCUGAGGGACGGGUGCUCAGUGCUCAUCUUGGACAGCCACGACCAGAGCUUUGUGAACAUUUCCAGUGGCAAUCUGACAGCCUUUACCUGUGACAUCAGCUGGCUCCAAGUGAAGAACUUCUGUGGGACAGAAGAUGACGAGAACCAAGUUAAAAUUACUGCCACUAUUGAAACAGUGAUGUCAGAUAUCAAAAUGAAAGCAAUAAGGGAGCUUCACCUGGAGGAGGAACUUGCAAAUGAGAGCUGUCUUAGACCUGUUAGUGGGAAUGGGAAACUUUUGUCUCCAGUGCCUGAGGAUUACACUGUCAAGGAAGCAGAACUGAAGAUGGGAAGCUUGCUUGGGUUGUGCCAUGGGAAAGCUCCAACUUCCACUCAGGUAGAGCUGUGAGGGAAAGUGUCUU
Lepidothrix coronata (blue-crowned manakin) is the source of this 405-nucleotide long non-coding RNA. RefSeq lists it as uncharacterized. The record is from RefSeq and is a predicted model, not a curated record. NCBI's taxonomy places the organism in Eukaryota, Metazoa, Chordata, Aves, Passeriformes, Pipridae. The transcript has 5 exons.